This 253-nucleotide ribosomal RNA is filed under the name uncultured bacterium. Its description in RNAcentral is "partial 16S ribosomal RNA". It matches the Rfam family "Bacterial small subunit ribosomal RNA", at positions 524 to 776 of the family's 1533-position model. The record is from RNAcentral.
GACAGAGGGUGCUAGCGUUGUUCGGAAUGACUGGGCGUAAAGGGUGCGUAGGUUGUUAGGCAAGUAAAAUGUUAAAGCCUUGAGCUCAACUCAAGAAUCGCAUUUUAAACUACCUAGCUAGAGUGUGGGAGAGGAAAACGGAAUUCCUAGUGUAGAGGUGAAAUUCGUAGAUAUUAGGAAGAACACCAGAGGCGAAGGCGGUUUUCUGGAACACUACUGACACUGAGGCACGAAAGCGUGGGGAGCAAACAGG